UCCUACGGGAGGCAGCAGUGGGGAAUAUUGGACAAUGGGCGAAAGCCUGAUCCAGCCAUGCCGCGUGUGUGAAGAAGGCCUUUUGGUUGUAAAGCACUUUAAGCGAGGAGGAGGCUACUUAGAUUAAUACUCUAGGAUAGUGGACGUUACUCGCAGAAUAAGCACCGGCUAACUCUGUGCCAGCAGCCGCGGUCAUA
RNAcentral lists this ribosomal RNA (197 nucleotides) under uncultured Acinetobacter sp. RNAcentral describes it as "partial 16S ribosomal RNA". It matches the Rfam family "Bacterial small subunit ribosomal RNA", at positions 337 to 525 of the family's 1533-position model. Lineage: Bacteria; Pseudomonadati; Pseudomonadota; Gammaproteobacteria; Moraxellales; Moraxellaceae. The record is from RNAcentral.